RNAcentral lists this long non-coding RNA (3249 nucleotides) under Gossypium barbadense (sea-island cotton). RNAcentral describes it as "long non-coding RNA (GBAR_LNC020974)". The record is from RNAcentral. Lineage: Eukaryota; Viridiplantae; Streptophyta; Magnoliopsida; Malvales; Malvaceae.
AUUCUUAAGAGCAUUCACUCAAAUUUCUCAUUCUCUUGCGUUUUUAUUUUCUGUGGCUUGUUCUUAUUUUGUUUUUCUUUCAUCUUCGUUUCUUUUUAAGUUGCUUUCAUUUGAGUUGGAUUUUGGUGGAGGAAUUUUGUUGAAUCUUCAUAUUGUGGGAGUAAGGUUGACUUAAGCGUUUUUUUAACAUUUUUUAUUUAUCCAUUUAAUUGUUUAAUCAUUAAUUAUUUUGUUACUUUUAUUCGUUUAUUUAUCCAUCAACUUUCUUAUUUACAUGUUGUUCAUUCAUUUAGCCAUUCUUAUCAUUCUUUUAUUUUUUUUCCAUUAAUUAUAUACUUCAUUUGUUUUUAAUAUUAUGUCACACAUGUUGUUUAUUUUUUAAAAACUCGUGUUAUAAAUCAUCCAUUUUAAAUUAUUUGAUUAUUUGCUUUAAAUUUUUUUCCAUAUAUUAUCAAUUGCAAUUUAUUUUUUUAUCCUAUCUAUUUUUCCCAUAUUUUGGCCCUUAGUUUGGUUUUAUUCUCAUUUUUUUCCUUUUAAUUCUGUUUUAAAUUCAAUUUAAUCCUCACUAGUUUGACUUAAUUUGCUUGUGUUUUAUUUAUUUAAGGGUUGAUUAUUAUGUUUUUUUUAAAAUUUUGAAUCUGAUAUUAUUUGAAUGUUUAUACUUAUUAUUAUUAAAUUAAUCAUUAAUAUUAUCUAAGUGUAUUGUAUAUUAUUAUUUUAGAUUUAUCAUGUUUUAUUAUUUGUAAUUUAUCAAUAUUAUUAUUUUAAAUUCAUUGUUAACAUUAUUUUAAAUUUAUCAUGUAUAUCUAUUUCAAAUUUAUCAUUAAUAUUUUUAAAUUUAUUAUAUACUAUUAUUUUGGAUUUAUCACGUAUGAUUAUUCUAGAAUUAUCAUCAAAAUUUUUAAAUUUUAUAUGUAUUAUUAUUUCAAAUUUAUUAUAUAUUAUUUAUUGUAAAUUAUCCAAUUCAUUUCAAAUUGUAGAUAUUAUUUGUAUUAAAUUGUACAUUCAUAUAUAUUAUUUGUUUUAACUCAUAUAUAUUGUUUAUUUUAAAAUUUUGAACGUAUAAUUUAUUGAUUAUAAUUUCUCCUUUUGCCAUUGAUUUCUUUAGUAUAUCUUUUAAAAUUGAUUAUUAAUUCAUUUAAUUUUAAAAUAUUGAUAUUGAUAUUUAUAUAAUGUAUGAUUGAAAUUAUUGUUGCCAUACAUGUUUAUAUUUGUUUAUUAAUUAUUUGUUAUUCAUUAGUGUAUGAUUCAUUUACAAAUUAUCCUUUUGCGUCGUAUGUUAUCAUUUAAUCGCAUUACAUUUUAUUCAAAAGUUUAUAAAACAAGACUCGAUAUUUAAGAUUUUUGAGAAGAUUAUGCCUUAACUUACUGGGCUUCAAUUUUGUCGUUAAAUUCAAAAUAGCCGAGUAUCCCUUUUUCAAUAAAAUCAAUUACCAUUGAAUAGUAAUAAAGUCAUUCAUCACAAAGGUGAAUGCCUAUGAGAGGGUAUCAUUUACCCAUGUCUCAGGUUAUGAAUUCCACUGUUGUGAAUGACGCUACAUAAUGUAGAAGUUGUACACCCAAUGCAUUAGCUUUUUGUAACAGCCCGUUUUCUAGUGGUGUCAGAGACAGUGGUUUCGGGACCACCGAAUCCGACGAGUAAGUUCGUAAAUAUUAUUAUUUAAUAUUUACGAGUCAUAUGCGACUUUGAAAAGGUUUUUGAUUUGAUAAUUUAUGUUAUUUAAGCGAUUUAUUAAGUUCGAGUGGUAAGACCUUAAAGUCAAGUGGUUUUAGAAAAUGAUGUAUCGGGACCUCAUUUUUAUAAACCGAGCCAUAAAUAUUUUUAUAAAUAUUUAUGGAGUGUUAUUAAGGUGGUAUUAAAGUUUCAUUAAGAAAUUUUAACAUUUCGAUAGUUAAUUAAGCAAAAAGGACUAAAUCGUAAAAUUUGAAAAAAGUCAAUCGCUAUUAGUUUAAAGGUAUAAAUCGGUUAAAGAGUUAUAGUUGGAUGGAAAUAGUGGGUAAUUUUAUCAUACCUAAGAUGGUGGGAAAAUUUUAAUCUUUAAAAUCUUUUAAUUUUAUAUGUUUUAUAAGUUAAUUUAUUAUUAAUAAAGUAAAAUGGUUAAUAAAGUAAUAAUAAUACAAAAGUGGCCAUCUUCAACCUUAAGUUUUAUUUGUUUAAAUAGAAAUCCAUGGCUAUGGAGAAGUGAGGUUCGACCAUGUUUCAUUUUGUGCAUGUAAGUCCAUUUUGCACCCGUUUUUAAUGAUUUUUAUGUUUUUUGAGAUCGUUGCAACGAGGUCCAGCUAGCCCGCACCUUCGAUUUUGAAACUAUUAAAGAUUUUGAAUGUUUCCAUUGAUGAAUAAAGUGAUUUUUUAUGUUAAAUGAUGAAUUUGAAAUAUUAGUUGUUAUUUUAAAGUAUUUUAUUAAGUGAUUUUUGAUGAAUUUUUCGAUUAGGGACUAAAUUAUUUAAAUAAUAAAAAUACAAGGAUUUUUUGUGAAAUUUUUGCAAAAUGGGAUUUAUUGGAUGCCAUAAGUAUUCGGCUCGGAUCAAUUUUGGGGAAAAAAAGGUUAAAUUGCAUGUUUUAGGCUUAAAGAAUAAAUUGAAUAAAAGUAAAAAAUUUUAGGCAAUUUUGUAAAAAUUUCAAAAAUUACUAAAUUGCAUAAAGUACCUUUUUUAAUGUCUAAAUUAAUAGAUUGAAUGAAAUUAUUAAUUUAGAUCAAGAUCGGGUGGAAAAAUUGAUGAGAAUAAAAAAUUACCAAAAUGCCCCUGUACUUUGACAUUUCUACAAUGUAGCUAGGUAAGUUCAUAUGAACUGUACUAGGUAUAAUGUUGAUUAAAUUAAAUUUUAUUAUAUGAUUUUACUAAAAAUGAAUCAAUAUAUAUAUAUGUGUUAAUUAUACAAUUUAUCGAGUAAAGAAACGAUGAAAAUUCGGAUACAAAUGACAUGUCAUUAGGGUUACCAUGUUUCAGGUGCUAGUCCUGGACGUCCUACCGGUGGCUGAGUUUCGACAUGUGUUGCGGAUACUUGACAACUUGUGUGAGCAACACCUUGUAGCUACGUUCUGACUAACAGCUUGUAUGAGCAGACCCAUUUAUGGCUCGAGAGAAAGCAUCUAUGUAAAGGAAAAGGAAAGAAAUGGUUUCGACCAUAUGUUAGCACACUGUGUGAGAUUCCUGCGUAUUCGAUAUUAUUCUAAGUGGUUCAAUGGGCAUCAAAAGGGAAGGAACAGUAAGUGUUCCGAUUGGCAAUGUCAUGAAAGUAUGGAAAGG